RNAcentral lists this ribosomal RNA (497 nucleotides) under uncultured bacterium. Its description in RNAcentral is "partial 16S ribosomal RNA". It matches the Rfam family "Bacterial small subunit ribosomal RNA", at positions 28 to 507 of the family's 1533-position model. The record is from RNAcentral.
GAUGAACGCUGGCGGCGUGCCUAAUACAUGCAAGUCGAGCGAACAGACGAGGAGCUUGCUCCUCUGUCGUUAGCGGCGCACGGGUGAGUAACACGUGUAUCCCGUACCUAUCAGACUGGGAUCACUACGGGACACGGGCGCUAAUAGCGUAUAAUAUAUUGCACCGCAUGGUUCAAUAGUGAAAGACGGCUUUGCGGUCACUUAUAGCUGGAUACGGGCCUCAUUAGCUGGUUGGUAAGGUAAAGGCUUACCAAGGCAACGAGGCGUAGCCGACGUGAGAGAGUGAUAGGCCACCUGGGAGCUGGAACACGGACAAGAGGCCUACGGGAGGGAGCAGUAGGGAAUCGUCCGCAAUGGGGGAGAGCCUGACGGAGCAACGCGGAGUGAGAGGUAACGACGUUGGGAGCGGAAAACCCUGUUAUUGGGGAAGAACAGCUGUGGAAGUAACUAUGCAGGGCGUGACGGUACCUGGUCAGAAAGCAACGGCUAACUACGUG